This 525-nucleotide ribosomal RNA is filed under the name uncultured bacterium. Its description in RNAcentral is "bacterial SSU rRNA". It matches the Rfam family "Bacterial small subunit ribosomal RNA", at positions 8 to 526 of the family's 1533-position model. The record is from RNAcentral.
AGAGUUUGAUCAUGGCUCAGGACGAACGCUGGCGGCGUGCCUAACACAUGCAAGUCGAACGGGGCCGGGGGCAACUCCGGUUCAGUGGCGGACGGGUGCGUAACACGUGAGGAACAUGACUUUCGGUGGGGGAUAGCCGGCCCAACGGCCGGGUAAUACCGCGUACGACCUUUUGGGGACCUCCCUGAUUGGUGAAAGCAGCAAUGCGCCGAAAGAGUGCCUCGCGGCCUAUCAGCUAGUUGGUGGGGUAACGGCUCACCAAGGCGACGACGGGUAGCUGGUCUGAGAGGAUGGCCAGCCACAUUGGGACUGAGACACGGCCCAGACUCCUACGGGAGGCAGCAGUAGGGAAUUGUUCGCAAUGGGCGCAAGCCUGACGACGCAACGCCGCGUGGAGGAUGAAGGACUUCGGUUCGUAAACUCCUUUCGACCGAGAUGAACAGCUCUCGACCUAAUACGUUGAGAGCCUGACAGUAUCGAGGGAAGCAGCCCCGGCUAACUCCGUGCCAGCAGCCGCGGUAAUAC